CCGAAAGGGAUGUGAAAGGGAGGCCCCCAACCGCGGUGCCGCUGGGCGGGUGGUCACACGGAGAAAAAGGAGAGCGGCCCCCCAGGGUGGGGGUCGAUAGGAGGGCUCACCGGCCCGGCCAAGCGGCAUCUCCAGGCGGCCUGUUGGUUUCCCAGGCGCCUCCUCAUCACCAGCCGGACCUUCUUCCCCGCCCCCUUGUCCCGGGCGCGCCUCUGGCGCCGUUGGGGAGGGGGUCCCAGGUGCGCCUCGCACGGGGUCCAGCUGUCUGUCCUGCCUCCCUCGGUCAGCGCGGCUGAGCGGGGACAUUGCGGGAGGCAGACACAACCACGUGUGCACCGGCUGGAGGCCGACGCGCGACCUCCUGACUCCUCCAGAGCUCUGGGUCUCCGGGAUUUGGGGGCCGACGUCCGCGGGGGACACACCCCCCGUCUCCCUGCACCAAUGGCAAUGCGGGCAUGGCAUGCCCCUGUUCCAGCAGCGAAGGGCCGGCCCCUCGCGCCCGACGCACAUUCCCGGCAGGGCCGUGCGUGGGACCGUGCCUGGGGGGCCGACGGGGGUGCGGCUUCCUCAGCGCCCUUGCGCGGGGCCCUGCUUCUGAACGUACAACACGACAAGGACGCCAGGAAACCUUGUUUGCUUUGGGCACCGAACCGCGCGCUCCGGAGUUCCGCCUCCUCCCCAGCGAGUGUGAACCGAGCCCUGCAGACCAGAGGGACUCACCUGUGCCCACUGUCCUGUCCCGUGGGCAGGUUCCAGCCGCCAAGGAUAAAGCAACCCCCUGGCAAGAGUCAAGGCUUUUAGACGAUCUGGUGCAUACCUCUCUUCCAGAUCAGCCUUCAUUGGAUGAAUGCAUCCAAGGCCAUGGAGUGCAUUUGACACCUUUUUGUGAAUAUUCAUCUCUGAGCUCGGGGUGGAAACAUCUCGGCUGAACGGAAGAAGAUGGUAAACAGUUAAGCUCCGAGGUCCACGCGGCGUCUGUUGAGAUCCCUCGACUCUGCGGUUGUCAUGAACGCGGCCGGAGGCGACGUGUGACCAAGUGGGUACAGCGGUGUGCCAAUAAAACUUUAUUGACAAAAGCAA
Molecule: long non-coding RNA, 1080 nt
Organism: Neofelis nebulosa (Clouded leopard)
Lineage: Eukaryota; Metazoa; Chordata; Mammalia; Carnivora; Felidae
Exons: 2
Source: RefSeq, a predicted model, not a curated record